CUUUAAUAUAGUACAUCAUAAAAUAAUAAAUUAGCCUUCAAGAAUACCUCCACCCAGGAAAAAGUCUACCAGACUAUGCGCACCUGGCAUAGCAAGGGCAAAAGUGCUUCUGUUUUGCUGGGAGAAGGUUUCUUCUCCUGAGGACGAGGAGCAGUUUCAAGAGGAAGGCCAGAGGAUCUUUUGCAAAACCUGCUUGUUAAGAGGGAUACAGUGCAGGGAAAGGUGAAAGUAUGAAGAUAUGAAGAUGAUGUGAAGGUGCCCCUGCAAUCCUAU
Zonotrichia leucophrys gambelii is the source of this 273-nucleotide long non-coding RNA. RefSeq lists it as uncharacterized. The transcript is spliced from 3 exons. The record is from RefSeq and is a predicted model, not a curated record. NCBI's taxonomy places the organism in Eukaryota, Metazoa, Chordata, Aves, Passeriformes, Passerellidae.